Molecule: non-coding RNA, 114 nt
Organism: Acanthosepion pharaonis
Lineage: Eukaryota; Metazoa; Mollusca; Cephalopoda; Sepiida; Sepiidae
Source: the annotation of a GenBank genome assembly
UUACGGCCAUAUCACGCUAAAACACUAAUUCCUCUACGAUCAUCGAAGUUAAGCAACGUUGAGCUUGGUCAUUACUUAGAUGGGUGACCACUUACAAAUACCACGUGCUGUAAG